CCCUUAGAUGUUCUGGGCCGCACGCGUGCUACACUGAGUGGAUCAGCGGGUCAGGUUGCGCGAGAGCGUUUCCCAAUCUUUAAAUCCGCUCGUGAUGGGGAUUGACGGUUGCAAUUUUCUGUCAUGAACGAGGAAUACCUUGUAAGCGCGGGUCAUCAUCCCGCGCUGAAUACGUCCCUGCCCUUUGUACACACCGCCCGUCGCUCCUACCGAUUGAGUGGUCCGGUGAGGCUUUGGGAUCUGAGCGGAAAGAGCGUUUCGCUGUUUCUGCUCGGAAAACUCAGUCGAACCUUAUCAUUUAGAGGAAGGAGAAGUCGUAACA
RNAcentral lists this ribosomal RNA (322 nucleotides) under uncultured eukaryote. Its description in RNAcentral is "partial 18S ribosomal RNA". It matches the Rfam family "Eukaryotic small subunit ribosomal RNA", at positions 1470 to 1796 of the family's 1831-position model. The record is from RNAcentral.